This is a long non-coding RNA of Acanthopagrus latus (yellowfin seabream), 823 nucleotides long. RefSeq lists it as uncharacterized. The transcript has 5 exons. The record is from RefSeq and is a predicted model, not a curated record. NCBI's taxonomy places the organism in Eukaryota, Metazoa, Chordata, Actinopteri, Spariformes, Sparidae.
GUGUUGUCGAGUAGCUGCCGUCAUUUGACCCCUUUGUCUGAAGAACUGCCCCGGUUUGGACUCAGCGCCCCCUGCGGGAGCUAACGUUAGCUAACAGGAACUGUCGGCUCGGUACAAGAAAAACUUGUAUACAACCGAGGUACAGAGUCAGGACCCUCGUCUCGUAGGACGGCCGUCUCUAGGACAUCUGAGGUGGGCGUGUCGGGUGGCUCUUGGGAGAGAUCUUCAGAACAUCUGCUUACUAUGGAAAGAUGGAAUAUUUGAGCCGAUCAGCGUUCCUGCAGUAGAUGGCAGAGCCGGUGCCGAGCUCUGUGCUCCUCUGCUGGGGUCAGAGGUCAACUCCUUUCACCAGUGCAGUCUCCAGGGUGAUGGUAAACUCGUUGAGUGUGUGCAGGAUGCGGGAGAGGGAGUGUACAGCAGCACGGUCUCGCAGCAGAGCUCCUUCUUCGUAGGUCCGUGCUGUCAGGGGGAAGUCUGCCAGCAGGGGGAGCCACUGAGAGAGAAGCCGGUCCCUGCAAAGAGGAACAGAUGGAGACAGGAAACAGACAUCAGCACUUACCCACAAAGUCCCAAACAAACACGUUCCUCUGGAAAAGACGGUUCGACUUGAGCCCGUGCAGGAGGAACUUCUCCAGGGAGAGUACCAGACCUCCUUCACCGCAUAACAAGACUGUCAAGUUUCCCCUCUGAGGAGAGAGAAAGGGGAACAGGGUUAUUGAGGAAGUAAACAGGGGAGAGGAAAUGCUUGUACAUUGAAGUCUGUGCACUACAGAUGAUGUUGCAAUGAUUUGGAGGCCCAUCACAGAUAAACUAAAGAGAUCCA